This 73-nucleotide transfer RNA is filed under the name Polyangiaceae bacterium. RNAcentral's name for it is "tRNA-His". It matches the Rfam family "tRNA". From Rfam's summary of the family: Transfer RNA (tRNA) molecules are approximately 80 nucleotides in length. Their secondary structure includes four short double-helical elements and three loops (D, anti-codon, and T loops). Lineage: Bacteria; Pseudomonadati; Myxococcota; Polyangiales; Polyangiaceae. The record is from RNAcentral.
GUGGCCGCGGUGUGUUCGGUACGCACGGCAGGUUGUGUCCCUGCAGGAGCGGGUUCGAUUCCCGCCGGCCACC